CCUACGGGAGGCAGCAGUGAGGAAUAUUGGACAAUGGGCGCAAGCCUGAUCCAGCCAUGCCGCGUGCAGGAAGAAGCAUCUAUGGUGUGUAAACUGCUUUUGUACAGGAAGAAACACUCCCUCGUGAGGGAGCUUGACGGUACUGUAAGAAUAAGGACCGGCUAACUCCGUGCCAGCAGCCGCGGUAAUACGGAGGGUCCAAGCGUUAUCCGGAAUCAUUGGGUUUAAAGGGUCCGUAGGCGGUUUAAUAAGUCAGUGGUGAAAUCUGGUCGCUCAACGAUCAAACGGCCAUUGAUACUGUUAGACUUGAAUUAUAAGGAAGUAACUAGAAUAUGUAGUGUAGCGGUGAGAUGCUUAGAUAUUACAUGGAAUACCAAUUGCGAAGGCAGGUUACUACUUAUGGAUUGACGCUGAUGGACGAAAGCGUGGGGAGCGAACAGGAUUAGAUACCCUGGUAGUCCACGCCGUAAACGAUGGAUACUAGCUGUUCGGAGCAAUCUGAGUGNGUAGAGAAGAGAUAAGUAUACCACCGUCGGUAGGUACGUUCGUCGAGAAGAGAACGACGAAGAAGUAGUACGGACGUAGAGAGUAGACGACGGACGACGACGAGGGAGGAGG
RNAcentral lists this ribosomal RNA (618 nucleotides) under uncultured bacterium. Its description in RNAcentral is "bacterial SSU rRNA". The stretch from base 1 to 531 matches the Rfam family "Bacterial small subunit ribosomal RNA", at positions 338 to 873 of the family's 1533-position model. The record is from RNAcentral.